CUAGAAUGGGAACCAUAACCCCACUUAUAACUCCUAGGAGUUACAUAACCCAAGAGACAAGAGUUACAAGACAAGAGUAAUGUCUUGCAAGAGUUACAUAACUCAAGAGUCACAAGCAUUCAUGUAACCAUGGUUACAUAUGUAACCUUAGUCAGCCCAUCAUCAACUAAGGUUACACUUUUGGGUAUCUACACAUUAGUCCUACACUUUAG
Molecule: long non-coding RNA, 212 nt
Filed under: Nicotiana benthamiana
Lineage: Eukaryota; Viridiplantae; Streptophyta; Magnoliopsida; Solanales; Solanaceae
Description: long non-coding RNA (NBEN_LNC019304)
Source: RNAcentral